CGGCGGUGUGCCUAAUACAUGCAAGUCGUACGCACUGGCCCAACUGAUUGAUGGUGCUUGCACCUAAUUGACGAUGGAUCACCAGUGAGUGGCGAACGGGUGAGUAACACGUAGGUAACCUGCCCCGGAGCGGGGGAUAACAUUUGGAAACAGAUGCUAAUACCGCAUAACAACAAAAGCUGCAUGGCUUUUGUUUGAAAGAUGGCUUUGGCUAUCACUCUGGGAUGGACCUGCGGUGCAUUAGCUAGUUGGUAAGGUAACGGCUUACCAAGGCGAUGAUGCAUAGCCGAGUUGAGAGACUGAUCGGCCACAAUGGAACUGAGACACGGUCCAUACUCCUACGGGAGGCAGCAGUAGGGAAUCUUCCACAAUGGGCGCAAGCCUGAUGGAGCAACACCGCGUGAGUGAAGAAGGGUUUCGGCUCGUAAAGCUCUGUUGUUGGAGAAGAACGUGCGUGAGAGUAACUGUUCACGCAGUGACGGUAUCCAACCAGAAAGUCACGGCUAACUACGUGCCAGCAGCCGCGGUAAUACGUAGGUGGCAAGCGUUAUCCGGAUUUAUUGGGCGUAAAGCGAGCGCAGGCGGUUGCUUAGGUCUGAUGUGAAAGCCUUCGGCUCAACCGGAGAAUUGCAUCAGAAACUGUUGAACUUGAGUGCAGAAGAGAAGAGUGGAACUCCAUGUGUAGCGGUGGAAUGCGUAGAUAUAUGGAAGAACACCAGUGGCGA
This 725-nucleotide ribosomal RNA is filed under the name uncultured Lactobacillus sp. Its description in RNAcentral is "bacterial SSU rRNA". It matches the Rfam family "Bacterial small subunit ribosomal RNA", at positions 37 to 718 of the family's 1533-position model. The record is from RNAcentral. Lineage: Bacteria; Bacillati; Bacillota; Bacilli; Lactobacillales; Lactobacillaceae.